AGUCGAACGCGAAAGCGGGGCAACCCGCAAGUAGAGUGGCGAACGGGUGAGUAAUACAUCGGAACAUUUCCAGUAGCGGGGGAUAACCUGUCGAAAGAUAGGCUAAUACCGCAUACGCCCCACGGGGGAAAGCGGAGGACCGCAAGGCUUCGCACUAUUGGAGUGGCCGAUGUCGGAUUAGCUAGUUGGCGGGGUAAAAGCCCACCAAGGCUACGAUCCGUAGCUGGUCUGAGAGGACGAUCAGCCACACUGGAACUGAGACACGGUCCAGACUCCUACGGGAGGCAGCAGUGGGGAAUUUUGGACAAUGGGCGCAAGCCUGAUCCAGCCAUGCCGCGUGAGUGAAGAAGGCCUUCGGGUUGUAAAGCUCUUUCGGUGGGGACGAAAAGGUUCGUGCUAAUACCACGGACUAAUGACGGUACCCGAAGAAGAAGCACCGGCUAACUACGUGCCAGCAGCCGCGGUAAUACGUAGGGUGCAGGCGUUAAUCGGAGUUACUGGGCGUAAAGCGUGCGCAGGCGGUUUGUUAAGACAGAUGUGAAAUCCCCGGGCUUAACCUGGGAACUGCGUUUGUAACUGGCAAGCUAGAGUGUGGCAGAGGGGGGUGGAAUUCCAAGUGUAGCAGUGAAAUGCGUAGAUAUUUGGAGGAACACCGAUGGCGAAGGCAGCCCCCUGGGCUAACACUGACGCUCAUGCACGAAAGCGUGGGGAGCAAACAGGAUUAGAUACCCUGGUAGUCCACGCCCUAAACUAUGUCAACUGGUUGUCGGGGAAGCAAUUCCUUGGUAACGAAGCUAACGCGUGAAGUUGA
This 811-nucleotide ribosomal RNA is filed under the name uncultured bacterium. RNAcentral describes it as "bacterial SSU rRNA". It matches the Rfam family "Bacterial small subunit ribosomal RNA", at positions 60 to 868 of the family's 1533-position model. The record is from RNAcentral.